UACGGAGGGUGCAAGCGUUGUCCGGAAUCACUGGGCGUAAAGGGUGCGUAGGCGGGUCUUUAAGUCAGGGGUGAAAUCCUGGAGCUCAACUCCAGAACUGCCUUUGAUACUGAGGAUCUUGAGUCCGGGAGAGGUGAGUGGAACUGCGAGUGUAGAGGUGAAAUUCGUAGAUAUUCGCAAGAACACCAGUGGCGAAGGCGGCUCACUGGCCCGGUACUGACGCUGAGGCACGAAAGCGUGGGGAGCAAACAGG
Molecule: ribosomal RNA, 253 nt
Filed under: uncultured bacterium
Lineage: Bacteria
Description: partial 16S ribosomal RNA
Rfam family: Bacterial small subunit ribosomal RNA
Source: RNAcentral